RNAcentral lists this ribosomal RNA (253 nucleotides) under uncultured bacterium. RNAcentral describes it as "partial 16S ribosomal RNA". It matches the Rfam family "Bacterial small subunit ribosomal RNA", at positions 524 to 776 of the family's 1533-position model. The record is from RNAcentral.
GACAGAGGUGCCGAGCGUUAGGCGGAAUCACUGGGCUUAAAGCGUGUGUAGGCGGGCCGUUAAGUGCCCCGUGAAAUCCCCCGGCUCAACCGGGGAACGGCGGGGCAUACUGGCGGCCUUGAGAGGCCUAGGGGCGAGCGGAACAGGCGGUGGAGCGGUGAAAUGCGUAGAUAUCGCCUGGAACGCCGACGGUGAAAACAGCUCGCUGGGGGCCUUCUGACGCUGAGACACGAAAGCCAGGGGAGCGAACGGG